This 459-nucleotide ribosomal RNA is filed under the name uncultured bacterium. Its description in RNAcentral is "partial 16S ribosomal RNA". It matches the Rfam family "Bacterial small subunit ribosomal RNA", at positions 338 to 795 of the family's 1533-position model. The record is from RNAcentral.
CCUACGGGAGGCAGCAGUGAGGAAUAUUGGUCAAUGGUCGAGAGACUGAACCAGCCAAGCCGCGUGAGGGAUGAAGGUACUGUGUAUCGUAAACCUCUUUUGUCAGGGAACAAAGGCGGGGACGUGUCCCCGGAUGAGUGUACCUGAAGAAAAAGCAUCGGCUAACUCCGUGCCAGCAGCCGCGGUAAUACGGAGGAUGCGAGCGUUAUCCGGAUUUAUUGGGUUUAAAGGGUGCGCAGGCGGUCUGUUAAGUCAGCGGUAAAAGCGCGGGGCUCAACCCCGGCCCGCCGUUGAAACUGGCAGUCUGGAGUGGGCGAGAGGUAUGCGGAAUGCGCGGUGUAGCGGUGAAAUGCAUAGAUAUCGCGCAGAACUCCGAUUGCGAAGGCAGCAUGCCGGCGCCAGACUGACGCUGAGGCACGAAAGCGUGGGUAUCGAACAGGAUUAGAUACCCUAGUAGUC